RNAcentral lists this ribosomal RNA (216 nucleotides) under Glomeromycotina sp. RNAcentral describes it as "partial small subunit ribosomal RNA". The stretch from base 40 to 216 matches the Rfam family "Eukaryotic small subunit ribosomal RNA", at positions 686 to 864 of the family's 1831-position model. Lineage: Eukaryota; Fungi; Glomeromycota. The record is from RNAcentral.
GGGUCAGUAGGUUGGUCGUGCCACCGGUACGUACUGGUCUCACUGAUUCCUCCUUCCUGAAGAACCAUAAUGCCAUUAAUUUGGUGUUGCGGGGAAACAGGACCGUUACUUUGAAAAAAUUAGAGUGUUUAAAGCAAGCUAACGCUUGAAUACAUUAGCAUGGAAUAAUGAAAUAGGACGAUCGAUCCUAUUUUGUUGGUUUCUAGGAUUGACGUA